UACGUAGGGGGCAAGCGUUGUCCGGAAUUAUUGGGCGUAAAGAGCGCGUAGGCGGUCCGAUAAGUCGGCUGUGAAAGUCAGGGGCUCAACCCUUGAAAGCCGGCCGAUACUGUCGGACUAGAGUCCGGAAGAGGCAAGUGGAAUUCCCGGUGUAGCGGUGAAAUGCGCAGAUAUCGGGAGGAACACCAAUGGCGAAGGCAGCUCUCUGGAACGGUACUGACGCUGAGACGCGAAAGCGUGGGGAGCGAACAGG
Molecule: ribosomal RNA, 253 nt
Filed under: uncultured bacterium
Lineage: Bacteria
Description: partial 16S ribosomal RNA
Rfam family: Bacterial small subunit ribosomal RNA
Source: RNAcentral